AUUGGGUUUAAAGGGAGAGGAGGCGGCAUGGUAAGUUAGAUGUGAAAGCCCGGGGCUUAACCUCGGGAUUGCAUUUAAAACUAUCAAGCUAGAGUACAGGAGAGGUAAGUGGAAUUCCUAGUGUAGCGGUGAAAUGCGUAGAUAUUAGGAAGAACAUCAGUGGCGAAGGCGACUUACUGGACUGAAACUGACGCUGAGGCUCGAAAGCGUGGGGAGCGAACAGGAUUAGAUACCCUGGUAGUCCACGCCGUAAACGAUGAGUGCUAGGUGUCGGGGGGGAACCCUCGGUGCCGCAGCUAACGCAAUAAGCACUCCACCUGGGGAGUACGAUCGCAAGAUUAAAACUCAAAUGAAUUGACGG
Molecule: ribosomal RNA, 361 nt
Filed under: Clostridia bacterium
Lineage: Bacteria; Bacillati; Bacillota; Clostridia
Description: bacterial SSU rRNA
Rfam family: Bacterial small subunit ribosomal RNA
Source: RNAcentral